This 474-nucleotide ribosomal RNA is filed under the name uncultured bacterium. Its description in RNAcentral is "bacterial SSU rRNA". It matches the Rfam family "Bacterial small subunit ribosomal RNA", at positions 28 to 507 of the family's 1533-position model. The record is from RNAcentral.
GAUGAACGCUGGACGGCGUGCUUAACACAUGCAAGUCGAACGAAGAUGCCGGAGUGCUUGCACUUUGGCAGACUGAGUGGCGGACGGGUGAGUAACGCGUGAGGAACCUGCCUCAAANAGGGGGGAUAACAGUUGGAAACGACUGCUAAUACCGCAUAAGCCCACGACCCGGCAUCGGGUAGAGGGAAAAGGAGCAAUCCGCUUUGAGAUGGCCUCGCGUCCGAUUAGCUAGUUGGUGAGGUAAUGGCCCCACCAAGGCGACGAUCGGUAGCCGGACUGAGAGGUUGAACGGCCACAUUGGGACUGAGACACGGCCCAGACUCCUACGGGAGGCAGCAGUGGGGAAUAUUGCACAAUGGGGGAAACCCUGAUGCAGCGACGCCGCGUGGAGGAAGAAGGUCUUCGGAUUGUAAACUCCUGUUGUUGAGGAAGAUAAUGACGGUACUCAACAAGGAAGUGACGGCUAACUACGUG